AUUUCCCUACGGGAGGCAGCAGUGGGGAAUAUUGCGCAAUGGGCGAAAGCCUGACGCAGCGACGCCGCGUGAGGGAUGAAGGUCUUCGGAUCGUAAACCUCUGUCAGCAGGGAAGAACGGUCACUGUGCUAAUCAGCAGUGAAUUGACGGUACCUGCAAAGGAAGCACCGGCUAACUCCGUGCCAGCAGCCGCGGUAAUACAUAGGGGGCAAGCGUUAUCCGGAAUUAUUGGGUGUAAAGGGUGCGUAGACGGAAGACCAAGUUGGUUGUGAAAUCCCUCGGCUCAACUGAGGAACUGCAACCAA
RNAcentral lists this ribosomal RNA (305 nucleotides) under uncultured bacterium. RNAcentral describes it as "bacterial SSU rRNA". It matches the Rfam family "Bacterial small subunit ribosomal RNA", at positions 333 to 630 of the family's 1533-position model. The record is from RNAcentral.